AUUACGUCCCUGCCCUUUGUACACACCGCCCGUCGCUACUACCGAUUGAAUGGCUUAGUGAGGCCUUCGUAUCGGCGUUUGGGAGCCGGCAACGGCACCCGAGUGCUGAAAAGUUGUACGAACUUGGUCAUUUAGAGGAAGUAAAAGUCGUAACAAGGUUUUCGUAGGUGAACCUGCGGAAGGAUCAUUAGUGAAAUAGGGUGCUUGCAAAAGGCCCGAAAACACUUUCCACACACUAGUGCACUUGAAACUUUUUAAACACUUUGUGUUAAUAUAAAAGAUGAUGAUGUAAUUUGAUAAACGAAAGAACAACUUUCAGCAAUGGAUUUCUUGGCUCUCGCAUCGAUGAAGAACGCAGCGAAUUGCGAUACGUAAUGUGAAUUGCAGAACUCAGUGAAUCAUCGAAUUUUUGAACGCAUCUUGCGCUCUUUGGUUAUUCCGAAGAGCAUGCUUGUUUGAGUGUCUCGUACCUCUCAGCCCCGCCAAUUCUUAAUUGAGUUGGUAGUUGGGUCUGGAUCAUAGUUUCUGCCAGACGUUUAACCUUGUGUUAAAUGGUUAAUGGCUGGACUGAAAUAUAGUAAAGCUGGAUAGAAUACGAUACGGCUUGACCUGAUGUUGUAGACUUUUUGAACUAUUCGAAACUUCGUCGGGGAUCGUUAUCGAAAUCUAAGGAGCUUCUCAUAAUGUUGUAAUAGAUCAUUUUGACCUCAAAUCAAGUAGGACUACCCGCUGAACU
RNAcentral lists this ribosomal RNA (736 nucleotides) under uncultured fungus. Its description in RNAcentral is "eukaryotic LSU rRNA". The stretch from base 1 to 190 matches the Rfam family "Eukaryotic small subunit ribosomal RNA", at positions 1644 to 1831 of the family's 1831-position model. The record is from RNAcentral. Lineage: Eukaryota; Fungi.